This 248-nucleotide ribosomal RNA is filed under the name uncultured Actinomycetes bacterium. RNAcentral's name for it is "uncultured actinobacterium partial 16S ribosomal RNA". It matches the Rfam family "Bacterial small subunit ribosomal RNA", at positions 28 to 276 of the family's 1533-position model. The record is from RNAcentral. Lineage: Bacteria; Bacillati; Actinomycetota; Actinomycetes.
GACGAACGCUGGCGGCGUGCUUAACACAUGCAAGUCGAGCGGUAAGGCCCUUUCGGGGUACGACGAGCGGCGAACGGGUGGAGUAACACGUGGGUGACCUGCCCUCAGCUCUGGGAUAAGCCUGGGAAGCCGGGUCUAAUACUGGAUAUGACUCCAUGACGCAUGUUGUGGGGUGGAAAGCCUUGUGCGGCUGAGGAUGGGCCCGCGGCCUAUCAGCUUGUUGGUGGGGUGAUGGCCUACCAAGGCGA